GGGUUAGUAGGUUGGUCAUGCCUCUGGUAUGUACUGGUCUCACUGAUUCCUCCUUCCUGAUGAACCGUAAUGCCAUUAAUUUGGUGUUGCGGGGAAUUUGGACUGUUACUUUGAAAAAAUUAGAGUGUUUAAAGCAAGCUAACGCUUGAAUACAUUAGCAUGGAAUAAUGAAAUAGGACGUUCGAUCCUAUUUUGUUGGUUUCUAGGAUUGACGUAAUGAUUAAUAGGGAUAGUUGGGGGCAUUAGUAUUCAAUUGUCAGAGGCGAAAUUCAA
This 273-nucleotide unclassified non-coding RNA is filed under the name uncultured Glomus. RNAcentral's name for it is "sequence contains 18S rRNA gene". The stretch from base 38 to 273 matches the Rfam family "Eukaryotic small subunit ribosomal RNA", at positions 684 to 921 of the family's 1831-position model. Lineage: Eukaryota; Fungi; Glomeromycota; Glomeromycetes; Glomerales; Glomeraceae. The record is from RNAcentral.